RNAcentral lists this transfer RNA (73 nucleotides) under Ailuropoda melanoleuca (giant panda). It matches the Rfam family "tRNA". From Rfam's summary of the family: Transfer RNA (tRNA) molecules are approximately 80 nucleotides in length. Lineage: Eukaryota; Metazoa; Chordata; Mammalia; Carnivora; Ursidae. The record is from Rfam by way of RNAcentral.
ACCUGGCUGGUUCAGUUGGUAGAGCAUGUGACUCCUAAUCUCGGGGUCAUGAGUUCGAGCCCCAUGUUGGGUG